CACGUAGGUGGCGAACGUUAUCCGGAAUUACUGGGCGUAAAGGGUCCGCAGGCGGCGGAGGAGGUCUGGUGUGACAGCCCGUGGCUCAACUACGGGAGGCCACUGGAAACCGCUCCGCUUGAAUCAGGCCGAGGUCGGUGGAAUUCCCGGUGUAGUGGUGGAAUGCGUAGAGAUCGGGAGGAACCUCGAAAGCGAAGGCAGCCGGCUAGGCCCUGAUUGACGCUGAGGGACGAGAGCGUGGGGAGCGAACAGG
Molecule: ribosomal RNA, 253 nt
Filed under: uncultured bacterium
Lineage: Bacteria
Also listed under: 1 other name
Description: partial 16S ribosomal RNA
Rfam family: Bacterial small subunit ribosomal RNA
Source: RNAcentral